Molecule: ribosomal RNA, 463 nt
Filed under: uncultured bacterium
Lineage: Bacteria
Description: bacterial SSU rRNA
Rfam family: Bacterial small subunit ribosomal RNA
Source: RNAcentral
GGCGGCGUGCCUAACACAUGCAAGUCGAGCGAGGAGAUUCCUCGGGAUGAUCCUAGCGGCGGACGGGUGAGUAACACGUGGGCAACCUGCCUCAUAGAGAGGAAUAGCCUUCCGAAAGGGAGAUUAAUACCUCAUAACAUUGCAGUUUCGCAUGGAACAGCAAUUAAAGGAGCAAUCCGCUAUGAGAUGGGCCCGCGGCGCAUUAGCUAGUUGGUGAGGUAACGGCUCACCAAGGCGACGAUGCGUAGCCGACCUGAGAGGGUGAUCGGCCACAUUGGGACUGAGACACGGCCCAGACUCCUACGGGAGGCAGCAGUGGGGAAUAUUGCACAAUGGGGGAAACCCUGAUGCCAGCAACGCCGCGUGAGUGAUGACGGCCUUCGGGUUGUAAAGCUCUGUCUUCAGGGACGAUAAUGACGGUACCUGAGGAGGAAGCCACGGCUAACUACGUGCCAGCCGCCGC